GGGCCCGCACAAGCGGUGGAGUAUGUGGUUUAAUUCGAUGCAACGCGAAGAACCUUACCAGGGCUUAAAUGUAAGUUGCAUGGAUCAGAGAUGGUCCUUUCUUCGGACUACUUACAAGGUGCUGCAUGGUUGUCGUCAGCUCGUGCCGUGAGGUGUCAGGUUAAGUCCUAUAACGAGCGCAACCCCUAUCGUUAGUUGCCAGCAUUAAGUUGGGCACUCUAGAGAGACUGCCUGGGUUAACCAGGAGGAAGGUGGGGAUGACGUCAAGUCCUCAUGGCCCUUAUGCCUAGGGCUACACACGUAAUACAAUGGUUGGUACAGAGGGAAGCGAACUCGCGAGGGGGAGCAAAUCUCAAAAAAGCCAAUCUCAGUCCGGAUUGGAGUCUGCAACUCGACUCCAUGAAGUUGGAAUCGCUAGUAAUCGC
RNAcentral lists this ribosomal RNA (425 nucleotides) under uncultured bacterium. Its description in RNAcentral is "bacterial SSU rRNA". It matches the Rfam family "Bacterial small subunit ribosomal RNA", at positions 917 to 1345 of the family's 1533-position model. The record is from RNAcentral.